Molecule: ribosomal RNA, 253 nt
Filed under: uncultured bacterium
Lineage: Bacteria
Description: partial 16S ribosomal RNA
Rfam family: Bacterial small subunit ribosomal RNA
Source: RNAcentral
UACAGAGGGGGCAAGCGUUAUUCGGAAUUAUUGGGCGUAAAGGGCGCGUAGGCGGCUUUGCAAGUGAGGGGUGAAAUCCCUCGGCUUAACCGAGGAACUGCCUGUCAGACUGUGAGGCUUGAGACCGGGAGAGGUGAGUGGAAUUCCCAGUGUAGCGGUGAAAUGCGUAGAUAUUGGGAGGAACACCAGUGGCGAAGGCGGCUCACUGGACCGGAACUGACGCUGAGGCGCGAAAGCGUGGGGAGCAAACAGG